GUGGUGCUGGUCGGCCUGGUCGGCGUCGCCAUCGGCUUCCGGUCGACGGACGCGACGGUGCUGGACUGGCUGGCCGCGUUCGGGCUGCUGGUGCUCUUC
This 99-nucleotide transfer RNA is filed under the name Actinoplanes sp. L3-i22. RNAcentral's name for it is "tRNA-Gly". Lineage: Bacteria; Bacillati; Actinomycetota; Actinomycetes; Micromonosporales; Micromonosporaceae. The record is from RNAcentral.